GAUCAAGCUACAAAGGGCGCACGGUGAAUGCCCUGGCACUAGGAGCCGAUGAAGGACGUGAUAAGCUGCGAUAAGCUACAUGUAGGCGCACAUAGCCUGUGAUAUGUAGAUUUCCGAAUGGGGAAACCCAUCUAGUUAUGCUAGAUACUGUAUACUGAAUACAUAGGUAUAUGGAGGUACACCUGGGGAACUGAAACAUCUAAGUACCCAGAGGAAGAGAAAGAAAAUUCGAUUCCCUAAGUAGCGGCGAGCGAAAGGGGAAGAGCCCAAACCAGGAACUUGUUCCUGGGGUUGCGGAUAGAUCAUAACGCUUUGAUUUCUUUAGUUGAAGAGAACUGGAAAGUUCCGUCGUAGAAGGUAAUAACCCUGUAGGCGAAAAGGAAAGAAAAGUAGAUCUACUCCAGAGUACCACGAGACACGUGAAACCUUGUGGGAAGCUGGGAGGACCAUCUCCCAAGGCUAAAUACUACCUAGUGACCGAUAGGGAAGCAGUACCGUGAGGGAAAGGUGAAAAGAACCCCGGAAGGGGAGUGAAAUAGAAUCUGAAACCGUGUGCCUACAAUCGGUCGGAGCACAUUAAAGUGUGACGGCGUACUUUUUGUAGAACGGGCCAGCGAGUUACGAUAUAUAGCAAGGUUAAGCACUUAUGGUGUGGAGCCGAAGGGAAACCGAGUCUGAAUAGGGCAACUAGUUGUAUAUUGUAGACCCGAAACCGGGUGACCUAUCCAUGGCCAGGAUGAAGCGGAAGUAAAAUUCCGUGGAGGUCCGAACCACGUUGGUGUUGAAAAACCAUGGGAUGAGCUGUGGAUAGCGGAGAAAUUCCAAUCGAACUCGGAGAUAGCUGGUUCUCCUCGAAAUAGCUUUAGGGCUAGCGUCGGGUAAUUGAGUAGUGGAGGUAGAGCACUGAAUGGGCUAGGGGCUGACAACAGUUACUGAACCCUAUCAAACUCCGAAUGCCAUAUACUUGUACCCCGGCAGUCAGACUACGAAAGAUAAGAACCGUGGUCAAAAGGGAAACAGCCCAGACCAUCAGCUAAGGUCCCAAAGUGUAAGUU
Molecule: ribosomal RNA, 1055 nt
Filed under: Clostridium novyi B str. NCTC 9691
Lineage: Bacteria; Bacillati; Bacillota; Clostridia; Eubacteriales; Clostridiaceae
Description: bacterial LSU rRNA
Rfam family: Bacterial large subunit ribosomal RNA
Source: RNAcentral